This 490-nucleotide ribosomal RNA is filed under the name uncultured bacterium. RNAcentral describes it as "partial 16S ribosomal RNA". It matches the Rfam family "Bacterial small subunit ribosomal RNA", at positions 28 to 507 of the family's 1533-position model. The record is from RNAcentral.
GAUGAACGCUAGCUACAGGCUUAACACAUGCAAGUCGAGGGGCAGCGGGAUUGAAGCUUGCUUCAAUUGCCGGCGACCGGCGCACGGGUGAGUAACGCGUAUCCAACCUUCCGUACACUCAGGGAUAGCCUUUCGAAAGAAAGAUUAAUACCUGAUGGUAUGAUGAGAUUGCAUGAUAUCAUCAUUAAAGAUUUAUCGGUGUACGAUGGGGAUGCGUUCCAUUAGGUAGUAGGCGGGGUAACGGCCCACCUAGCCAACGAUGGAUAGGGGUUCUGAGAGGAAGGUCCCCCACAUUGGAACUGAGACACGGUCCAAACUCCUACGGGAGGCAGCAGUGAGGAAGAUUGGUCAAUGGACGAGAGUCUGAACCAGCCAAGUAGCGUGAAGGAUGAAGGUCCUACGGAUUGUAAACUUCUUUUAUAAGGGAAUAAACCCUCCCACGUGUGGGAGCUUGUAUGUACCUUAUGAAUAAGCAUCGGCUAACUCCGUG